UACGAAGGGGGCUAGCGUUGCUCGGAAUCACUGGGCGUAAAGCGCACGUAGGCGGCUUUCUAAGUCAGGGGUGAAAUCCUGGAGCUCAACUCCAGAACUGCCUUUGAUACUGGAGAGCUUGAGUCCGGGAGAGGUGAGUGGAACUCCGAGUGUAGAGGUGAAAUUCGUAGAUAUUCGGAAGAACACCAGUGGCGAAGGCGGCUUGCCAGAACGCGCUCGACGGUGAGGGAUGAAAGCGUGGGG
Molecule: ribosomal RNA, 243 nt
Filed under: uncultured bacterium
Lineage: Bacteria
Description: partial 16S ribosomal RNA
Rfam family: Bacterial small subunit ribosomal RNA
Source: RNAcentral